CCUACGGGAGGCAGCAGUGAGGAAUCUUGCACAAUGGGGGGAACCCUGAUGCAGCAAUGCCGCGUGGGUGAAGAAGCACUUCGGUGCGUAAAGCCCUGUCAGCAGGGAAGAACAUGACAGUACCUGGCCAUGAAGCCCCGGCUAACUACGUGCCAGCAGCCGCGGUAAUACGUAGGGGGCAAGCGUUAUCCGGAUUUACGGGGUGAAACGGGAGCGCAGGCGGCGUGGCAAGUCAGAGGUGAAAGCCCGGGGCGCAACCCUGGGAGUGCAUUUGAAACUGGCAUGCUGGAGUGCCGGAGAGGUAAGCGGAAUUCCUAGUGUAGCGGUGAAAUGCGUAGAUAUUAGGAGGAACACCAGUGGCGGAGGCGGCUUACUGGACGGUAACUGACGCUGAGGCUCGAAAGCGUGGGGAGCAAACAGGAUUAGAUACCCCUGUAGUC
RNAcentral lists this ribosomal RNA (440 nucleotides) under uncultured bacterium. Its description in RNAcentral is "partial 16S ribosomal RNA". It matches the Rfam family "Bacterial small subunit ribosomal RNA", at positions 338 to 795 of the family's 1533-position model. The record is from RNAcentral.